UGGAAACGCUGUAUCCAAGAGAGAGAGAGAAAGAGAGCGGUUGCAAUCCACUGGGGAGCGGCAUGGCACUGGGACGGGAGGCAGAAGAGGGUAAAGAGGGGAGGAUGUUUGCCCGUCCUGGUGGAUUGUGCAGGAGACUGCUCCCAAAUCCAAUUAAUUCCUGCUGGAUGCGUUCAUUUGUCUCGUGCAUCUGACGAGAAAGACACAGAGAGGGACCCCUAAGGAGGCCAGGGUCGUCUCCUCUCCAACUUUCCCUCUGACAUCCCGGGCCUGGUAAUGAGAACGAGACGAGGCACGGGCACCGAAGACGACAAGUCGGCCCCCGCCGCAUGUCUGCCAUAAGCCUCGCAUCAGGCUUGAAAGAGCAUGUGAGGUCCCUGUUUUCUAAGUCCUGUGAGUCGGUGGAAACAAAGGGACGCGGAUGCCACACUGCCACUCUGACCCAUAUAAAGACACUCGUGUUAGCGCUCGGUGCCCUUAACCUUCAUGCCUGAUUACUGCAGUUUGUUUAUGUCCUGGCUGAACCUGAGUGAGUCUGACAAGAUCAAGUCAAGGUGUCUGCUUGGAAUAGAAGCCAAAAAGGAAAACAGGCCCCACAUAAACACACGCAUGCGUGCCUGUGUGAGUGCUCCCUCAAGAGGAAAA
Gambusia affinis (western mosquitofish) is the source of this 645-nucleotide long non-coding RNA. RefSeq lists it as uncharacterized. NCBI's taxonomy places the organism in Eukaryota, Metazoa, Chordata, Actinopteri, Cyprinodontiformes, Poeciliidae. The transcript has 3 exons. The record is from RefSeq and is a predicted model, not a curated record.